RNAcentral lists this ribosomal RNA (486 nucleotides) under uncultured Microbacterium sp. RNAcentral describes it as "bacterial SSU rRNA". It matches the Rfam family "Bacterial small subunit ribosomal RNA", at positions 8 to 507 of the family's 1533-position model. Lineage: Bacteria; Bacillati; Actinomycetota; Actinomycetes; Micrococcales; Microbacteriaceae. The record is from RNAcentral.
AGAGUUUGAUCCUGGCUCAGGAUGAACGCUGGCGGCGUGCUUAACACAUGCAAGUCGAACGGUGAAGCCAAGCUUGCUUGGUGGAUCAGUGGCGAACGGGUGAGUAACACGUGAGCAACCUGCCCUGGACUCUGGGAUAAGCGCUGGAAACGGCGUCUAAUACUGGAUAUGAGACGUGAUCGCAUGGUCGUGUUUGGAAAGAUUUUUCGGUCUGGGAUGGGCUCGCGGCCUAUCAGCUUGUUGGUGAGGUAAUGGCUCACCAAGGCGUCGACGGGUAGCCGGCCUGAGAGGGUGACCGGCCACACUGGGACUGAGACACGGCCCAGACUCCUACGGGAGGCAGCAGUGGGGAAUAUUGCACAAUGGGCGGAAGCCUGAUGCAGCAACGCCGCGUGAGGGAUGACGGCCUUCGGGUUGUAAACCUCUUUUAGCAGGGAAGAAGCGAAAGUGACGGUACCUGCAGAAAAAGCGCCGGCUAACUACGUG